This 376-nucleotide ribosomal RNA is filed under the name uncultured bacterium. RNAcentral's name for it is "bacterial SSU rRNA". It matches the Rfam family "Bacterial small subunit ribosomal RNA", at positions 524 to 898 of the family's 1533-position model. The record is from RNAcentral.
AACGUAGGAGGCUAGCGUUAUCCGGAUUUAUUGGGCGUAAAGCGCGUGCAGGCGGUCUAGUUAGUUGGAUGUGAAAGCUCCUGGCUUAACUGGGAGAGGUCGUUCAAUACUGCUAGACUAGAGAAUGGGAGAGGGAGGUGGAAUUCCGGGUGUAGUGGUGAAAUGCGUAGAUAUCCGGAGGAACACCAGUGGCGAAAGCGGCCUCCUAGACCACUUCUGACGCUAAGACGCGAAAGCUAGGGUAGCAAACGGGAUUAGAGACCCCGGUAGUCCUAGCCGUAAACGAUGUGGACUUGGCGUUGGCGGAGUUAAAUCUGCCAGUGCCGAAGCUAACGCGAUAAGUCCACCGCCUGGGGACUACGACCGCAAGGUUAAA